UCACAGCAAAGAAGGUAGUCUUUCUUUUAUUCAAUAAUCCAUUAAUUGAGUAUAGAUCAACAGCCACGAACAAUAGAAAAAUGAUAUAAUUAUACAAGUUAAGCAUAAGCAGUAUGCUUUAUCAUCAACGAUCCCAAUCUAUAUUAUAUAUAAAGAAGGAGUUUUAACGGCUAUAAAUUCCCGGCAAAAUUUUUAGCAGUUAUUUUUUCAAAUUUUAUACUUUGAAAAGACGUGGGUUUCAGCAAAAACUCAGUUGUUCUUCCAAAAUUUCAGCAACAAAUCAUUUUUUUUUCAAAAUUUCAAUCACAUUUCAGAAAACACAAUAACAGAAACGAAAAUUCCAGUAAUAAUUCAACAGCCACGCAAACAAAAUUAAUUGAAAAUCUUCAUCAUAAAAAGGAAAAUGACAGACGAUAAUUUCUUAAGCAAUUGAACAAAUUUGUUUUACCCAAGAAAUUUUCUAAUUCAAAAUCUUGAAUGCGCUUUUUUCUUUUUCUUCUAUAUUAAAGAGAAGAUGAAAUUUUGAAUAGAAAAUAACUUCAAUCUGCGUAAGAAAUUGAACAAAUUUGUCUUGCAUAAAGAACUUUUCUUGAAUCUUCUUUUUCUCUUAUUAAUUGAGAUAAAAGAACUUGAAUAACUCCGAUGAAAGAAAAAGGGAAGAAGAAGCAGAAGCGGUGCUACAUUUCCGAUGCUAUUGUAAUUUCAAUGCAUUCACUUCAACGAUCUGGGGCUAUCGACGCUUUCAACUAUACAUAAUUCUGAAAAUUGCAGUUUCACCACUAUUGUUUAUGAGAAUUAAGAAGAAGGUAAUGAAAUUAUUUUGCAAAAAAAGAAAGAAAAAAGAAGAAGAAGAAGAUAACCGUUGCAGAAAGAAGACGAAGAAAAUGAAAAGGGCGACGUUGUAGAAAGAAGAAAAGCGCAAGAAGAAGAAGAAGAGGACGCAGCGACGCUGCAUCGAAAAAGAUGAAAUUCAUGGAAUUUUGAAUAGAAAGUAGGGUUUUCACUAUUCUUUCUUCGGUUUACUUGUAUUUGUAUUUCUUUUAAUUAAUUUUGGGGAAUUUAAAGAUGGGCUUUCAAUAAGUUGAUUCUUUGAGCCCAAAUUGAAUCGAAUCUUUAAAUUCCCAAAACUAAUAUAUUAGGUUUAUGCUAAUAAUUUUGUUUAAUUUAAUUAAAGAUCUAAAACUAUUAAAUUAAGUGUGGGAUAUUGAUUAAAAUUAUAGAACUUUAAAUAUGGUUUAUAAUAUUUUUUUUAUCUUUGUGUAUGAAAAUAUUUAUUUAUUAAUUAUAAAAUGUCUAAUAUUUUAUAAUUAUAAUGCGUGAUAUUAAUUAUAAUUAUUAAUAAUUUAAAUAUUCAUAUAAUAUACUUCAUCCGUCCACAAAAAUUAGUCAUUAUUCAUUUUUAGAUUAAAUGGUGGGUCUCUUUCUCCACUAACAAUAUAAUUAAUUAUCAUUAUUAACAUCUAUAUAAUAUAUAGAAGAGGAGUUUUCUCCCUCUACUUUUUAUCUCUCUUCUCCCAUCAAUUUUUUUAACUAUUUCUUUUUUCUCUUUUUUUUUUAUAAUUUUAAUUCUUUUUCUAAACAUGAUCAAAUUUAAUUUAUAAAAAAAUAUUCAAUGUGCAUCUUAACUUAAAUUCGUCGGAAGAUCUUUAAUAUGGUAUAAAAAUUAUAAAAAAUGAAUUUCAAACGAAUAAGUUACUAAAUUUUUAAAUUAUUUUUUUUUCUUUGUUAAAAUUUUUCAACUUUUUAUUUAUGUUUUGUGAAUAAAAAAAUUUCAACUUUUUUAUUUAUGUUUGUGAAUAAAACUAUUUAUUUAUUAUUAUUAUGUGAAAUACUCUAUAAUGAUAAUGUGAAAUAUUAAUUUUCAUUAUCAAAUAAUUGAAAAAUAAUUUAAUAACUAUGAUUAUCAUUACACUUUAUACAUAAUUGAAAAUUACGUUUUUAAAUUCAAAAUUUUAUUGAGUAAUUAGUAUUUUAUUUUUAAAUCAUAUUUUGUAUUUAUAUAUUAUAUUUUAUUUCUGUUUAAUAUUUAUAUAUUUUUAUUUAAACAUAUCAUUUAAUUUCGAUUUUGCCGUGCAUCGCACGGAUGGUUGUACUAGUUUUCAGUAAUUGAACAAGAAACCAGAUAAAUAAAAACGAAGGAAAAAAAGGUAGAAUCUUGGGCAGUAGACGAAGCUGCCACACCGGAGUCGACGAUGCCGACCAAUUCCUGAUAUAGAACAUAGUUAGAGAUUUAUUUAAUUUAACGUAUUAAAACCACAAUUCCUGAUAUAGAACAUAGUUAGAGAUUUAUUUAAUUUAACGUAUUAAAACCAGAAAAUAGAGAAAAAGAGAAGAGAUAGAGAAAGAAAGGGAAAGCAGAGGCGGCGGCCACCCCCGGCAUUGCUACGCAGCCACGGCUCACGGCGGCAGCCGCGAACAGGGCAGAGAAAGAAAGAUCGAGAGGGGCAGAGUGAGAGAGACUGAGAGGGAGGAUAUAGAGAGAAGAAGAGAGAUAGGGGACUUACCUGAGGCAGGAAGAACGACGGAGGAGCGGAAAUCCGACGAGCUGGGGCGGCGGCGACGUUAUUCGCCGGGAUUCUCCAGAGGAAUAAAAGUGAUGGGGGAGAUUAAAAAACCCUAGGUUGAUUUUUAUUUGAGAAUUAAGGGAAAAGGAAGGAAAUGAAGAAGAAGAAGAGGAGAGAGAGGCGCCGGCCUCGCCGCGCCGGAGGCGGCGAUGACCGGCGACGUCGCCAAGCGUGAGAGAGAGGGAGAGUGACAGACGCGGGCGAGUGAACAGAGAGAGAAAGACCACGUCUGAGGAGAGAAGGAGGAAUCUGAUUUCCUUUAUUUUAAGAAGAAGACUAGUUUUACUCCCUCCGUCCCGCGAAGCAUGACCCACUUUCCUUUUUGGGUUGUCCCACGAAGCUUGACCUGUUUCUAAAAAUAGCAAAAAAUUUACCCUUUAUUCACCUUUUCACUUUUUCACCUACCACACUUAACACACAAAAUACCAAUUUCUUAAUUCC
Molecule: long non-coding RNA, 3005 nt
Filed under: Salvia miltiorrhiza (redroot sage)
Lineage: Eukaryota; Viridiplantae; Streptophyta; Magnoliopsida; Lamiales; Lamiaceae
Description: long non-coding RNA (SMIL_LNC004555)
Source: RNAcentral